CGCGGCCUAUCAGCUUGUUGGUGGGGUGAUGGCCUACCAAGGCGACGACGGGUAGCCGGCCUGAGAGGGCGACCGGCCACACUGGGACUGAGGCACGGCCCAGACUCCUACGGGAGGCAGCAGUGGGGAAUAUUGCGCAAUGGGCGAAAGCCUGACGCAGCGACGCCGCGUGAGGGAUGAAGGCCUUCGGGUUGUAAACCUCUUUCAGCAGGGACGAAGCGAAAGUGACGGUACCUGCAGAAGAAGCACCGGCCAACUACGUGCCAGCAGCCGCGGUAAUACGUAGGGUGCAAGCGUUGUCCGGAAUUAUUGGGCGUAAAGAGCUCGUAGGCGGUCUGUCACGUCGGCUGUGAAAACUCGGGGCUCAACCCCGAGCCUGCAGUCGAUGCGGGCAGACUAGAGUCCGGCAGGGGAGACUGGAAUUCCUGGUGUAGCGGUGAAAUGCGCAGAUAUCAGGAGGAACACCGGUGGCGAAGGCGGGUCUCUGGGCCGGAACUGACGCUGAGGAGCGAAAGCGUGGGGAGCGAACAGGAUUAGAUACCCUGGUAGUCCACGCCGUAAACGUUGGGCGCUAGGUGUGGGGGACCUUCCACGUUCUCCGUGCCGCAGCUAACGCAUUAAGCGCCCCGCCUGGGA
RNAcentral lists this ribosomal RNA (636 nucleotides) under uncultured bacterium. Its description in RNAcentral is "bacterial SSU rRNA". It matches the Rfam family "Bacterial small subunit ribosomal RNA", at positions 232 to 878 of the family's 1533-position model. The record is from RNAcentral.